This 587-nucleotide long non-coding RNA is filed under the name Sphaeramia orbicularis (orbiculate cardinalfish). RNAcentral describes it as "lncRNA (ENSSORG00005018454.1)". The record is from RNAcentral. Lineage: Eukaryota; Metazoa; Chordata; Actinopteri; Kurtiformes; Apogonidae.
AGAACGUAUGUCUGCAGUUCCUGAUUGUUUUUCUGAUGACAUGCGACAUACCGCUAUAUAAGAAGUGGACUUUGUGUAGUUGAGCACCUCAUUCUGAAGCUCCAGGCUGACACUGAGAAGACACAAGAGAAGCAAAUCUGCAGCAGGUUUGGCAUCCACUGUGGAAUUCAAACCACACUAAUACUCACAUCCACACAACUAACAUGUGUUUGUCUGAACUGAAGGUCUCAUCGGGGACAUCUGCAUCAUCGUCACCAUGAAGUUGCUGGUUGUGUUUUCUGCUCGUUGGUACCAUGAUGGUCCUGUCAGAGGCUUCUCCAGAGCCAGAGGCAGAACCUGAGGCAGAACCUGAGGCAGAACCAUCUGGAGAUUCUUCAGAGUCAGAGGAUGAGACUGCAACAGAAUCAGCCGAUGACGACUCGGAUGAUGGAAAUCAGGCGUCAAACCAAACGGUUGUUAAAAGAGCGUUACGUUGCCCCCGGUUCUGGAGACGGUAUGGCAGACGGUGUUACCAGCUUUUUUUCCUGGCGCAGAAACUGGUACAGCGCACAGGUAUUUGGAGUCCACUCCUUCUCCUUCUACAUUGA